RNAcentral lists this long non-coding RNA (2037 nucleotides) under Mus musculus (house mouse). RNAcentral's name for it is "long non-coding RNA chr6:46385867-46387904". The record is from RNAcentral. Lineage: Eukaryota; Metazoa; Chordata; Mammalia; Rodentia; Muridae.
UUAGUACCUCAUAAGCGUUCUUGAUUGCGAAGGGUGGGUCUUCCUGAAGGGGAGGAUGACAUUCCACCUUACAGAGUCAAUAAAAUGGGCAAAAGGAACUAGUAUGCUCCAUUUUCACUGUGUGCUACAAGGGCGGUAGGUACUUUGGAAAUGACUCUUCAAUAUACAAAUCAUGACAAAUGGCAAUGUGACCACCUGUGAGUGAGAAGGUUCUAAUGGGACAUCAGAAGAGGCAUCUAAUGGUGCCACAAAAGUUGGUUCCAAAAACUGCAAGAAAAUUGUGUAGUCUUGAUGUGACAUAUCAAGUCUAAAUCAAGUACAGAAAGCCAUGUGUAAAAAAGGAAAGCCACAGUCAAGAAUCUAGUUGGUUUGUGUGCAUAAAAUCAAGGAAUGCAGAGUAAGGCAGUCUCUUACAUCAUCUUAGGUCACUGCUUGUUUCUUCGUUUCUUUGUAUGACAGAAACUAAGGAUUCCAAGACCCUAAAAGGUACUUGGGAAAAGUCUCAGAUAGCAUUAGUGGAUAGUUUUUUUUUCCUUCAAUGAAAUAACUUUUUUAAGACAAAAAAUAUAAAAAAUAAAACAUUCAAAUGCUUUGUAGUUUUGAGAAAAGAAGUAUAAAGAUGAAGCAUAAUAUGAAAAGUUGGAAUAAAGUUUAAAAGAAAAUAUUUGAAACCUUCUCAAUCUUAUUUGAAUCUGUGGACUUUUGGAUUUUUUUUUAAGUAAGUAAGACCUUUCAGAUAUCUCUUUAAUAUAGGUAAGAGCAACUUAAGAGAACUGCAAAAUGACAGAGAAAACACAAUACAUUUAGGAGUUCAGAAACUUUGGGCAUUUUUCUUAAGAAGCACAUGCAAAAGUGAAGGAAACUAGCAAGGACAGAUCUGAAGGAAAAAAAAAAAGAAGUGCCCUUUGUUCUGGAUAAUUUUGAAUCUAUCUAGGUCCUUUCUCAUCUUCCUGGGUAUGCCUGAAUACGAGUGUGAGGACAUGCACGUGGAGGCCAGAGGCCACCCUUCCUGUUAGGCCUCCUAUUCUCCCUUGUGUGAUACAGGUGUCUUGUUGUUUGUCAUUGCACAUGGUAUGCUAGCUGGCUAGUGAGCAGCUAUGGAUUCUCCUGUCUCCACCUCCUAUCUUGUCAUAGGAAUGCUGGAAUUACAUGUGUGGGAUACCACAGCACUGAACUUUAUUUGAAUACUGAGACUUGAAUUCUGGUCCUCAUACCUGCAUGGCAAAAAUAUGCACUAUUAUACAAUCUCGCUAGCCUAGAAUCUACCUAUUUAUUUAUUUAUUUAUUUAUUUAUUUAUUGGUUUCUUUUUGAGACAGGGUUUCUCUGUGUAGCCAUGGCUGUCCUGGAACUCACCCUGUAGACCAGGCUGGCCUCUAACUCAGAAAUCUGCCUGGCUCUGUCUCCCAAGUGCUGGGAUUAAAGGCAUGCCCCACCACUGCCUGGGUUGAAUCUACCGAUUUUUAAGUAUUUAAGAUGAAAUACUUUCAUUUAUUUUCUUCCCAAAAUCUCUAGUAACUAUCUUUCUGCCGAAACGCUUUGAGAAGCCAAAGUAUGAAAAUCCAGCUAAUAUUCUCACGAGCUCACAUACUUGGCAGUCCUCAGGGAGGCUGCAGAUGCUUCUAGAAUGUAAUUACAAUGGCAUCUCACAUUAAUGUUUCUGAAGCAAACUAUAUGCAGAGAAUCUAUGGGACUAGAGAGGUGGUUCUGCUGUAAAGGGUGUUUCAGAGUACACACAUUUGAUUCCCAGCACCUACAUCAGGUGGUAAACAACUACAUAACAACUCCAACGCCAGGGGCCAACAUCAUCUUCAGGCUCUGUAAGCACUAGGCAUAUACUUGGUGCCCAUAUAUACUCAGGCACACACAUAAAUAUAUAUACAUAUGUGUGUGUAUGUAUAUAUAUAUAUUUUUUCAGAAAAUUUCCAACAUAAUAUUUUAUUGAUUGUUUUGGAAUUUCACUUAAUGCACCCUAAACACACUCACUUUCCAGUUCUCCCUGGCCCAACUCCCACCCUUUGUGAGCCCCCUCCCCCACC